CGACCCCGCGGGGGAGAGUCCCGUCGAGGGACGCCGAAGGAGCAACCUCCCCGGAAUCUCUCAGGCGCACGGACUCCGCGGACGAG
Kytococcus sedentarius DSM 20547 is the source of this 86-nucleotide non-coding RNA. The record is from Rfam. NCBI's taxonomy places the organism in Bacteria, Bacillati, Actinomycetota, Actinomycetes, Micrococcales, Kytococcaceae.